UCAAAAGAAGAGAGCAAGUCGGUGAAGGGCGGGCCUGCACUUUCGGUGGGCCGCGUCGCCCGGCACCUCAAGGUCAGGCGCUACGCGCGCCGCGUGGGCGCGGGCGCCCCCGUCUACCUCUGCGUCGUGUGCUCGGGUAACUCGCAGGCUGCCCUGGAGCUGGCCAGCAACGCGGCGCGUGACAACAAGAAGACCACGAUCUCGCCGCGCCACAUCCAGCUCGCCGUCCCCAACGACGAGGAGCUCAGCCGCUUGCUCGGCGGUGUCACCAUCGCUGCCGGCGGCGUCUUGCCCAACAUCCACUUCGUGCUGCUCCCCAAGAAGCCCGACGGCAAGGGCGCCGGCACCGGCGGGUCCGUCUCACAGUCCCAGGAGUUCUAG
This 381-nucleotide ribosomal RNA is filed under the name Triticum aestivum (bread wheat). Its description in RNAcentral is "partial small subunit ribosomal RNA". Lineage: Eukaryota; Viridiplantae; Streptophyta; Magnoliopsida; Poales; Poaceae. The record is from RNAcentral.